CCUACGGGAGGCAGCAGUGAGGAAUAUUGGUCAAUGGACGCAAGUCUGAACCAGCCAUGCCGCGUGCAGGAUGACGGCUCUAUGAGUUGUAAACUGCUUUUGUACGGGGGUAAACGCAGAUACGCGUACCUGUCUGAAAGUAUCGUACGAAUAAGGAUCGGCUAACUCCGUGCCAGCAGCCGCGGUAAUACGGAGGAUUCGAGCGUUAUCCGGAUUUAUUGGGUUUAAAGGGUGCGUAGGCGGUCGGAUAAGUUAGAGGUGAAAUCCCGAGGCUCAACUUCGGAAUUGCAUUUGAUACUGUUAGGCUAGAGUGUAGUUGAGGUAGGCGGAAUGUAUGGUGUAGCGGUGAAAUGCUUAGAGAUCAGACAGAACACCGAUUGCGAAGGCAGCUUACUAAGCUACUACUGACGUUGAGGCACGAAAGCGUGGGUAGCAAACAGGAUUAGAUACCCUUGUAGUC
RNAcentral lists this ribosomal RNA (460 nucleotides) under uncultured bacterium. RNAcentral describes it as "partial 16S ribosomal RNA". It matches the Rfam family "Bacterial small subunit ribosomal RNA", at positions 338 to 795 of the family's 1533-position model. The record is from RNAcentral.